RNAcentral lists this transfer RNA (73 nucleotides) under Arthrobacter phage VResidence. RNAcentral's name for it is "tRNA-Gln". It matches the Rfam family "tRNA". From Rfam's summary of the family: Transfer RNA (tRNA) molecules are approximately 80 nucleotides in length. Their secondary structure includes four short double-helical elements and three loops (D, anti-codon, and T loops). Further hydrogen bonds mediate the characteristic L-shaped molecular structure. tRNAs have two regions of fundamental functional importance: the anti-codon, which is responsible for specific mRNA codon recognition, and the 3' end, to which the tRNAs corresponding amino acid is attached (by aminoacyl-tRNA synthetases). tRNAs cope with the degeneracy of the genetic code in two manners: having more than one tRNA (with a specific anti-codon) for a particular amino acid; and 'wobble' base-pairing, i.e. permitting non-standard base-pairing at the 3rd anti-codon position. Lineage: Duplodnaviria; Heunggongvirae; Uroviricota; Caudoviricetes; Casidaviridae. The record is from RNAcentral.
UCCCGGCUGGUCCAACUGGCACGACGCCCGACUCUGGAUCGGGCAAUAGAGGUUCGACUCCUCUGCCGGGAAC